RNAcentral lists this transfer RNA (67 nucleotides) under Ceutorhynchus albosuturalis. RNAcentral's name for it is "tRNA-Ser". Lineage: Eukaryota; Metazoa; Arthropoda; Insecta; Coleoptera; Curculionidae. The record is from RNAcentral.
GAAUUAAGUGAUUCAGAAAGAAGCUUCUAACUUUUUUUCUAAGCGGAGAAUCUCCGUUUUUAAUUCU